RNAcentral lists this ribosomal RNA (710 nucleotides) under uncultured bacterium. RNAcentral describes it as "bacterial SSU rRNA". It matches the Rfam family "Bacterial small subunit ribosomal RNA", at positions 29 to 747 of the family's 1533-position model. The record is from RNAcentral.
ACGAACGCUGGCGGCGUGCCUAACACAUGCAAGUCGAGCGGAGGGGAAAGGAGCUUGCUUCUUGAACCUCAGCGGCGGACGGGUGAGUAACACGUGGGUAACCUGCCCUUGAGAGGGGGAUAACAGGUCGAGAGGCCUGCUAAUACCGCAUAACGCUAAGAAGCUGCAUGGCGUCUUAGCCAAAGGUUGAUUCCGCUCAAGGAUGGGCCCGCGGCCCCAUUAGCUAGUUGGUGAGGUAAUGGCUCACCAAGGCGACGAUGGGUAGCCGGCCUGAGAGGGUGGUCGGCCACACUGGGACUGAGACACGGCCCAGACUCCUACGGGAGGCAGCAGUGGGGAAUAUUGCGCAAUGGGGGAAACCCUGACGCAGCGACGCCGCGUGAGCGAUGAAGGCAUUCGGGUUGUAAAGCUCUGUCUUCCCUGACGAUAAUGACGGUAAGGGAGGAGGAAGCCACGGCUAACUACGUGCCAGCAGCCGCGGUAAUACGUAGGUGGCGAGCGUUGUCCGGAAUUACUGGGCGUAAAGGGUGCGUAGGCGGCUCUUUAAGUGGGAUGUGAAAUCCCUGGGCUCAACCCAGGAACUGCAUUCCAAACUGGAGAGCUAGAGUGCAGGAGAGGAAAGCGGAAUUCCCAGUGUAGCGGUGAAAUGCGUAGAGAUUGGGAGGAACUACCUAGUGGCGAAGGCGGCUUUCUGGACUGUAACUGACGCU